Molecule: ribosomal RNA, 599 nt
Filed under: Oceanobacillus iheyensis
Lineage: Bacteria; Bacillati; Bacillota; Bacilli; Caryophanales; Bacillaceae
Description: bacterial SSU rRNA
Rfam family: Bacterial small subunit ribosomal RNA
Source: RNAcentral
UCUCUUCGGAGUUGACGAUAAUGGAAUGAGCGGCGGACGGGUGAGUAACACGUAGGCAACCUGCCUGUAAGACUGGGAUAACUCGUGGAAACGCGAGCUAAUACCGGAUAACACUUUUCAUCUCCUGAUGAGAAGUUGAAAGGCGGCUUUUGCUGUCACUUACAGAUGGGCCUGCGGCGCAUUAGCUAGUUGGUAAGGUAACGGCUUACCAAGGCGACGAUGCGUAGCCGACCUGAGAGGGUGAUCGGCCACACUGGGACUGAGACACGGCCCAGACUCCUACGGGAGGCAGCAGUAGGGAAUCUUCCGCAAUGGACGAAAGUCUGACGGAGCAACGCCGCGUGAGUGAUGAAGGUUUUCGGAUCGUAAAACUCUGUUGUUAGGGAAGAACAAGUACUAUAGUAACUGAUAGUACCUUGACGGUACCUAACCAGAAAGCCACGGCUAACUACGUGCCAGCAGCCGCGGUAAUACGUAGGUGGCAAGCGUUGUCCGGAAUUAUUGGGCGUAAAGCGCUCGCAGGCGGUUCUUUAAGUCUGAUGUGAAAUCUUACGGCUCAACCGUAAACGUGCAUUGGAAACUGGGGAACUUGAGUGCAG